Molecule: ribosomal RNA, 482 nt
Filed under: uncultured bacterium
Lineage: Bacteria
Description: partial 16S ribosomal RNA
Rfam family: Bacterial small subunit ribosomal RNA
Source: RNAcentral
AUUGAACGCUGGCGGCAUGCCUUACACAUGCAAGUCGAACGGUAACAGGUCUUCGGAUGCUGACGAGUGGCGAACGGGUGAGUAAUACAUCGGAACGUGCCCGAUCGUGGGGGAUAACGGAGCGAAAGCUUUGCUAAUACCGCAUACGAUCUACGGAUGAAAUCAGGGGACCUCUAGGCCUUUCGCGGACUGUUCUGCCGAUGGCUGAUUAGGUAGUUGGUGGGAUAAAAGCUUACCAAGCCCACGAUCUGUAGCUGGUCUGAGAGGACGACCAGCCACACUGGGACUGAGACACGGACCAGAAUCCUACGGGAGGCAGCAGUGGGGAAUUUUGGACAAUGGGCGAAAGCCUGAUCCAGCAAUGCCGCGUGCAGGAUGAAGGCCUUCGGGUUGUAAACUGCUUUUGUACGGAACGAAAAGACUCUUACUAAUAAAGAGGGUCCAUGACGGUACCGUAAGAAUAAGCACCGGCUAACUACGUG